This 200-nucleotide unclassified non-coding RNA is filed under the name soil metagenome. RNAcentral's name for it is "partial contains internal transcribed spacer 2 and large subunit ribosomal RNA". The record is from RNAcentral.
UGUGGGUUUGCUGGUUUCUCUCUUGAGGUCAGCUCCCCUGAAAUGCAUUAGCUGAACAAUUUGUGGACCUUGUUCAUUGGUGUGAUAAUUAUCUACGCUACUGACAACAAAGCAAGCUCAGCUUCUAACAGUCCAUUGACUUGGACAAUGUUUAUAUCAAAUGUGACCUCAAAUCAGGUAGGACUACCCGCUGAACUUAA